RNAcentral lists this long non-coding RNA (3303 nucleotides) under Sorghum bicolor (sorghum). RNAcentral's name for it is "long non-coding RNA (SBIC_LNC000491)". The record is from RNAcentral. Lineage: Eukaryota; Viridiplantae; Streptophyta; Magnoliopsida; Poales; Poaceae.
AUUUUACGAGGAAAAUAAGAAUACAACAAAACCCCAAACCCUAAUGAGAGUGGCAACAACUAAUUAUAAGUCUUGGUCGUCACCCCUCGAUGCACCCUCUAAUGGGCCUAAACACGAUACACGGUCCAACGGACCAAAAAGAUAGUGUCACAACACCUUGGCAGAUUUUGGACGCUAACUUGUUUUGACAAUUUCUAUUGAUUCUGAAAGCCUUUUGAUGUGGAACUAGUUGCAUUGGUUUUCUUAUAAAUUUAGCUUUCUAUGCACAUAUGGAUCGUCCAACACUGAGUCCGGAUGUGCCUGUGUGACCAGUUUUAUGACAGAGUGGUCCUAGAACCCGAGGACUCCAAUUUUAGUUGGAGUGGGUCUCCACUAUAAGAAAGAUGAAUUGGACACUCGUGCUAGACCUCCUCCACUCCUUGGCUUGUACAUGAUGGAGUGAUGUCCUCAUCGGAUACUGACAUGUGACCCAUCCUUUGGCUCUUUUCUCAUUAAUCCUUGGAAAAUUAUAGAAUCACCAAAACUCAUGAAAAUUGUUAGUUUAAACCUCUAAGUCUAUGGUGGUGAUUGAUUUAUGCCCUUUUUACUCUCUUGUUGACAAAUAAAAAUGAUAGUUAUCUACCAUCAACAAGCCCCCAUAAGCUUAACUAUGCAUGUCCCGAGCAAAACAACAAAUGAAAAGAUGGAUCAGGAGCUGCUUCAAUGCUUAAUUUCAUGCCUUAAAAAUACAGAUGUAUUCAAAUAGGAAUUCUUCUUCAAAUAGAGUGGACUAUUUGACUUUCAAACUUACUCAUGUUACUUUUAAUCAUGGGCUUUUACCUUCACUUAAAUCUGGAGCAAUUGAAAGACAGAAUGAUCAAGUCAAGCACUAUAUCUCAAGCUCUUCGUUCCACCUCUAUUCUGAAGUUUUUAUAAAUAUUUCAAAUAAAACUCAGAGUUCCUUUUGUAUGACUCUCACAAGUCUCAUAAUAUGUGGUAUUUUUGGAUCCUUACUUGAGGUAGUAAAAUAGUUAUGCCUUUCCUCUCUCACCCUAUCACUAAUAAAGCUUAUGUGGAGUUUCAUAGGUAUGGAGAUAGCUUAUACAUACUUGCAACACUUAUAUUGUCUAAUCAAACAAUGGAUCCAGAGGAACUCAUCAUACAAUCAAAUCAAGAUGUUCAUGUGUGUGGGUAUCUAAGUGGUAAAGGCUAAGAUAUGGUAGAGAAUGUAAGUGGUAGAAUGCUCCAUCAUUUUGAAGAUAACUUCUCUCUUCUUCCUUUCUCUUCCUUUUCUUUUUUUGUUUGACACUUGUCAUAAUUUGUCUUUCGUUUUGGCAGCCCAACACUCUUUUGCAAUAAGAACUUCUGAGAGGAAUAAUGAUAAAAACUUGGAGCAUUUAUUUUGAGGUUCUCACGGAUGUUGAAGAGGCCUAUGCCUCUAAGUUCUAGUUCUCAUGGUCUUGUCCUCGUCGGAGAUGAGUCAAAGUGUGACUGUCUCCUAUUGCCAUUGAUGCUGUUCCUACAUCAUCUUUAUUUGGGCAGCUUGAUCUUCUUGUAUGGUGUGGAGGGUGUUGUCAGUGCGAUGGCAAAAUGCUAGUUCAUAGCGUUGUUGAGUAUAGUGGAAUCUAGCAUCGGACAUUCGUCCUUGCUGAAAUUCAUGGUGUGCUUCUGAUGAGGAUGCCCCAUGGGGGUCAUAUGUGUAUCUUGCUUCUUCUUGAGGUCGACCAUAUGGUCGAUUUUGCCAUCGAUCUCCAUCUCCUUGGGGCCAUGCAUCUUCUUUCUGCUAAGGAAUGGGAUACUCCAAUGAAUUCCUCAGGACACAGAGAUUGGGCGUACCCCAGCCAGAGUAGCUAGUGUGUGCUGGUCUCUCCGAUCCAGGGUCAGCACCGUACCACUGUGGUUCAGGUUUUAUGCCAUCCUUGCAGAGGCUGCUCUCUAAGGUGCUUGAGAAUUUACUGGUUCUGCCUGAAACUCAAUAUGAUAUGAGUUUACAUAAUAUAAGCCCAUUUCUAGGUUAGGUAACCAGAUGCGGCCUUUAGAAUAACGCAUGUGAAGCCCAUCAUAUUCUCUUUUCAGUAAAUGUGCAUGUCUAAAACAUUCAUAUCCAAUGUAUGGUCGUAAUUCAUCAAUAUAUUCAAAAGAAGCAAUUUCCAAUAGAUCUAAAGCAUAUGUUAUACGAGUGACCAACAAAGUGCAACCAAGACCCCAUCAGGUUAGGUGUAGCUAACCAAUGUUCCACUAAAAGAUGGACUAGAGACUUGUAUCUUUUUAAGGGCUGCAUACAUUAAUUUCAAGUCUCCUUUAAUUUUACGUGGGUCGUCCCGUGGAAAGAAAAAAAGCCCAUACAUUUAGGUAAAAACCAGAGUGUUGGGUGUUCAACAUCACUAGUAUGAGGUUGGAAAAAGAAGUUAUAUUUUUAGAUUUCUUGCCAGAAUUUAUGUUUAUCAAAAUCUUCUAAUGCGGUGUCCAAAAUCUAGUGCAGUAGUGGGCUGAAAUCCAAGGAAGUUACUUAGGUCUCUCCAGCUGCAAGAGAUCUUUUACUGGAAGAGCCUAAAUGUUACUCCUGAUCCAAUAAUUUGUAGGGUGCAGAGAAAUUAAAUUGUUAAAAGUUUCGAUCCUAGCUCAGUAAUGUUCCAAAAAGAUUUUUGAUCCCACAAUUGCAAAAAUAAGGUUAAGCUCAACAUCCACACCAGUCUCCCUUAAAUGUUCAAAAUCAAAUCUAGGAGUAUGGAUAAAAGUUUUACCUUUCAUUUUCUUGUAGAUGUUCUUCUCUUGUUCAUACAUCAGUCCGAGCUAGGAUGCCUUGAUGAGGAUGUUCGGUGGUGGUGCCGAUGAGGAUGUUGGUGCUUGAAAGGCCGACGGAUCAACACUCAUUUCUGGUGCUACUCUUGAUGAACUUUAGGUCGAAUGUCUCGACCCUUGUUGAGUGAAUGCUUUCUUGGCAGACCUCAAAACAUGUUCAUCCUGUAAACUUGACAAAAACACAGCUCAUAGAGAAAGGUUAGGAAAAUAGUUAGCAAUUAUCUAUCCAGAGUUAGUAGUCUAGGAUUAGUCGUUCGAGGAAUAUUUUAGCUUGGAAUUUUGGCAGAACCUCCCCCUAAUUCUUUUUAAUUGUUUAUCUAAACUUUGGACAGUAGGUCCACUAAUCAAACUCUAGUUCUCUAAAAUAUUGCAGCACUACUUUCCUUCCCCUUUCUCUCAAGAUAAAGAAUUACUCUCUCCUUUCUUCUCACUUUCUCACUAUCUCCUUGGCUAAAACUAACACUUUGCUCUCGACACCAGAAUUUCAAAGUUUGGUAGUUGUUCUGCUAUGAGAGUGAGGAG